Molecule: ribosomal RNA, 455 nt
Filed under: Lactobacillus sp.
Lineage: Bacteria; Bacillati; Bacillota; Bacilli; Lactobacillales; Lactobacillaceae
Description: bacterial SSU rRNA
Rfam family: Bacterial small subunit ribosomal RNA
Source: RNAcentral
UCAGACCUUGGUGAGUGGCGGACGGGUGAGUAACACGUGGGUAACCUGCCCAAAAGUGGGGGAUAACAUUUGGAAACAAGUGCUAAUACCGCAUAACAACUACUUUCACAUGAUCGUAGCUUGAAAGAUGGCUCUGCUAUCGCUUUUGGAUGGACCCGCGGCGUAUUAGCUAGUUGGUGAGGUAAUAGCUCACCAAGGCAAUGAUACGUAGCCGACCUGAGAGGGUAAUCGGCCACAUUGGGACUGAGACACGGCCCAAACUCCUACGGGAGGCAGCAGUAGGGAAUCUUCCACAAUGGGCGAAAGCCUGAUGGAGCAAUGCCGCGUGAGUGAAGAAGGUUUUCGGAUCGUAAAACUCUGUUGUUGAAGAAGAACAUGCGUGAGAGUAACUGUUCACGUACUGACGGUAUUCAACCAGAAAGCCACGGCUAACUACGUGCCAGCAGCCGCGGUAA